CCUGGAACCGACAGGUGAAAAUGCCUGUCAGGGGAUAAAGAUCCUGGAUUGAUGUUUUCAAGUAAAUCUGGUACCAUGACAACAGUGCCAUGAAGCUAAGCAGACACAUAUUGAGGGUCGUUCCUAUGGCAGCAGAGAGGAGUGGCCAAUGGAACAACAUAUACCUGUUUGGAGACAAAUGUUCUGAAAAUGGAUUCAUUUUAUUUGAAACUGCUAUUUAUUCACAUUAAUUUCUGAAUAAUCUAUAUUGUUUUUUUUGUUUGUUUGUUUUAGAAAGCUCAUAUCAAUCAUACACACCUCAAACCAGUAAAAUGAGCAUGUAUCUUCAGUGUUGCUGAAUAAAUUUGUAUCUUUAAAUUCUGAACCUCUAUAUAUGCUCCAAUGGCUGGAUUAUACUGAAAUUGUCAAAGAAGUAUUUUUAAGUAAAUCCAUAUUUCUAUCACAAUAUCUAUGGUGGAAUGCACCUAUAUC
Ostrea edulis (European flat oyster) is the source of this 471-nucleotide long non-coding RNA. RefSeq lists it as uncharacterized. The record is from RefSeq and is a predicted model, not a curated record. NCBI's taxonomy places the organism in Eukaryota, Metazoa, Mollusca, Bivalvia, Ostreida, Ostreidae. The transcript has 2 exons.